This 965-nucleotide ribosomal RNA is filed under the name Dictyonella funicularis. RNAcentral describes it as "SSU rRNA". It matches the Rfam family "Eukaryotic small subunit ribosomal RNA", at positions 31 to 998 of the family's 1831-position model. The record is from RNAcentral. Lineage: Eukaryota; Metazoa; Porifera; Demospongiae; Bubarida; Dictyonellidae.
CUUGUCUCAAGACUAAGCCAUGCAUGUCUAAGUAUAAAUGCUUCUAUACAGUGAAACUGCGAAUGGCUCAUUAAAUCAGUUAUAGUUUAUUUGAUGGUUUCUUACUACUUGGAUAACCGUGGUAAUUCUAGAGCUAAUACAUGCACAAAGUCCCGACUUAACUGAAGGGAUGUAUUUAUUAGAUCCAAAACCAAUGCGAGCUCUCGGGUUCGGUUUGUUGGUGAUUCAUGAUAACUGCUCGAACCGUAUGGCCUUUGCGCCGGCGGUGCUUCAUUCAAAUUUCUGCCCUAUCAACUUUCGAUGGUACGGUAGUGGCCUACCAUGGUUGCAACGGGUGACGGAGAAUUAGGGUUCGAUUCCGGAGAGGGAGCCUGAGAAACGGCUACCACAUCUAAGGAAGGCAGCAGGCGCGCAAAUUACCCAAUCCCGACUCGGGGAGGUAGUGACAAUAAAUAACAAUGCCGGGCUAUCGUAGUCUGGCAAUUGGAAUGAGUACAAUCUAAAUCCCUUAACGAGGAUCAAUUGGAGGGCAAGUCUGGUGCCAGCAGCCGCGGUAAUUCCAGCUCCAAUAGCGUAUAUUAAAGUUGUUGCAGUUAAAAAGCUCGUAGUUGGAUUUCGGGGUGGCCUGGCUGGUCCAUCGCAAGGUGUGUACUGGUCAGCUGCCCUUCCUCUCGAAAGCCCCGACUGCUCUUCAUUGUAGUGGUCGGGUAGUUCGAGACGUUUACUUUGAAAAAAUUAGAGUGUUCAAGGCAGGCAGUCGCCUGAAUACAUUAGCAUGGAAUAAUGGAAGAGGACCUCGGUCCUAUUUUGUUGGUUUCUGGGGCCGAAGUAAUGAUUAAGAGGGACAGUUGGGGGCAUUCGUAUUUAAUUGUCAGAGGUGAAAUUCUUGGAUUUAUGAAAGACGAACUAGUGCGAAAGCAUUUGCCAAGGAUGUUUUCAUUAAUCAAGAACGAAAGUUAGGGUUC